AUUAGUAAAACAUUUCUCAUUUAUCAAGGUUACCCUUUUAAGUGUAUAAAUGUAUAUUUUCAUCCUUAUCUAUAAGGAUUACUAUUUUAAAUCUCCAUACAGAACUAAAUAACAUUUACUUAUUCACAACUUUAAAUUAUUUUAUUACAAAUACAUACUUCUUUAUUCACAGCUUUGUAACUUAUUUUUCCUUUAUAAUCAUUCAUCAUUGAAUCAAAGAUAAUCUUUUAUCUUGUAACAUUUUUUUUAGCAGAGGCCCAGUAGACGAAACAGAACACUUAGGAAAUAUGGGACUGAUAUAACAUCUGAUGGCACCGUCCCUUCUGCGGGAAUAGGUGCAUUACUCUCUACUUCAUCUGUACUAGCUCGUUCAGGAUCCAUAACUAUAAAAGAAAACAUUUUAAAAUCGUCAGGAGUCGUCACACUAUCAAAAUAUAUAUAAGUAUGGCAUGUAUAGGUAGACUCUUAUUCUUACUGAGUAUUUCCGAGAACCGACUAAACCUGCUCUAAUACCAAUAAAAUGUAACACCCCUUACCCGAGACCGUUUCCGGAGUCGAGCACGAGGCAUUACUUAGCUUAUCUUACCAAUUCGGAGCAUAAAAACUAGGUUUGAAAAUUUAUUUCUUUAUUCGCAGCAAAUCUGUCUAAUCGCGCAGCAGUUACUAAAUUAAUUAUAACUUGAGCUACAGAACUCGAAAUUUAAUCCCGUAAAUUUUCCCUGAAACUAGACUCAUAUAUCUACUCACCAUAAAAUUUUUAGAAUUUUUGGUUCAGAAAAUUAGUACAGUUUAUUAGUUAAAGUAUCCCCUGUGUCACCACCAGACUGCCCUGACCUCUAGUCACUAAAAAUAAGUUUUCUCACUAUAGGAUUUUCAUAUGAAGUUCUUACUUAUUUCUAUAGAAAAUAGACUCAUUAAGGAAUCUAAGCAUGUAAAUUUCAACUCAUAACCAUUUUUUUACAAUUUUUAAUUAUUUUCUAAACUCAGAACAGGGGACUCCAAAAACAGUUCUGACCCUAUCUUACUAAAAUUCACAUAUCUUAAAAUAUAAAUUUCUUUUUUUUCUACACCGUUAUUUUUCCAUGAAAAUAGACUCAACAAGCUUUAAUUCCAUAUAUCAUUCACCCUCUAAUUCAUUUUAUACUAUCUUGGGUGAUUUUUCAAAUUCACGUCACUGUGCUGCCUGAAUUCUGUUUCUUUGCAAAAUUUUAUCCUUUCAUGAUUUCCAUGCAUAAUUUAUCACCUAAUCUUUCAUAACAACAAACACCUUCAUCCUUAAUCAUUUUAAUAACCAUACAUCAUCAAAUACUUACACAUCACUCAUUAGCAAAAUCAUCACUACAAACAUACAAAAUAACUAAAUCCCUAUACAUGCCAUAACUUAAACGUGUUUCGAUAUAAAAUACCGAGCAGUUGUAGUUGAUAGUGUGGACGAUCUCCGACUUCUUUAGGAUCCUUGAAGUAGCUUUGCAAUACUAUAAGAGAAAGAGAAAUAAAAGAAGUAAGCAUAAAGCUUAGUAAGUUUACUAGCAAAUAAAUAACAAUAUUUAACUUAAAUAAUUAAACUCAAUGUCUAUAUCUCUAGUUUACUCUUUAGUUAAUCUCAUACUAGUUCUCUUACUUGUUUACUUAGAAUAUUUGUGUGCAUAACUUACUCAAUCCUUGCUGCAUCGUUGAACAUCAAUUGAUAGUAUAAUAAGUUCUUAAGUCUUACAACUUACCUGAGCUUACCAUUUAUGCUUUAAACUGAACUUUCAUGAACAUGAUUCGUUUACAAGCCCGUUGAACUACAUUGGAAUAAUAAGGAUACUCGGGUCUCUUCUGAUAAUAACAUGCCAAAGCCAUGUCCCAGACAUGGUCUUACAUGGGAUGUUCUCGUGAUGGUGCCCAUGCCAUGUCCCAGACAUGGUCUUAUAGGAGACCUCUCAUCUCGGUGCCAACGCCAUGUCCCAGACAUGGUCUUACAUGGGACCUCUCGUCUCGGUGCCCAUGCCAUGUCCCAGACAUGGUCUUACAGGGGACCUCUCAUGAUCUUAAGGAUGCCAAUGCCAUGUCCCAGACAUGGUCUUACAUGGGAUAUCUUUACCCAAAUGUCAUGACAUUCGUAUCCAGUACCAUCCUUAUGUAUCAACGGGACUUUUAAAUUUUAAUUCUCUAUCAUUUCAUGCUUGGAUCAUCAUCAAAUAAAUUCAUAAAAUAAAUUCAUAAUUGCUGAAAAUUAACAGCAUUAAUAAUAAAUAUUGAAAUAUUGCAUUUAUUUACCGUAAACUUACCUCGGUACCAAUUAUAGCCAAAUUCACCAACUUAGUCUUCAACUUUAUUCUUCCCUUUGUCUAACCUCGAGUUUCGUACUUCUUGAUCUAAAAUAGUAAAUUUAACUUAUUUAAUAGUCACAUUCAUCAAAAUAGCCCUCGACUCUAACUUUUUCAAAAUUACAAUUUUGCCCCUAAACUUUUACAUAAUUGCAUUUUUGCCCCAAGGCUCGGAAAUUAAACUUCAUCUCUUAUUCUUAUGUUUUAUAACAUUCUGAACAUUUUUCCCUUCUAUGGCAACAUCAAAUUCUAAUUUAAUCCCUUAUCAAUACUAAUUUUAUUUUUGCAUUCUAACUCUAUAUUCUCUCUUAAUUCUUACUAUAAACUCAGUUUAAUUCUUCAAUUUCCCCAUAAAUCCCUAAUUUCGGGAUUCUUUCAAUUUAAUUCCUAUCAAUUCAAAACUUAUGUUUUAUUUUACAAAUCAAUCCUUUAUUCAAUUCCAAUCAAAAUUUCUAUCAAAUACAUCCCUAAUUUAACAAUUUAUUCAACAUGAACCAUGCUUAAUAAUCUACUAACUUCCAAAAUUUCAACUUAAAUCAAGUAGUAUUUUGUUCUAGGAUUUCAAAAAAAAUAUCAAAAUUAAGAGAAAAGGGGAUUAAAUUGACUUACCAAAUUACUUUGAACCUUAAAACCCCAAAAUUCCCUUUUUCUUUUCUUUUCUUUCUUUCUUUCCUUCCUUCCUUCUCUGUUUCGUUUUGCUCUCUGUUUCUUUCUUUCUCCCUUCUCUGUUUUGUUUUGUUUUGCUCUCUGUUUCUUUUCUUUCUUUCUUUGUCAUAUAUUAAUAAUAAUAUAAUAUAAAAACAUAAUUAUUACUUACGCAUGUAUAAUAUAUAUAUUUUAAAUUAAAAAUAUCUUAGAUUUUUCUUUUGUUAUGCCGCCUCAACUUUAGAAAAAGGCAUAAUUGCCUAUUUG
This 3224-nucleotide long non-coding RNA is filed under the name Gossypium barbadense (sea-island cotton). RNAcentral describes it as "long non-coding RNA (GBAR_LNC016571)". Lineage: Eukaryota; Viridiplantae; Streptophyta; Magnoliopsida; Malvales; Malvaceae. The record is from RNAcentral.